Long non-coding RNA from Bactrocera oleae (olive fruit fly), 1778 nucleotides. RefSeq lists it as uncharacterized. The record is from RefSeq and is a predicted model, not a curated record. Lineage: Eukaryota; Metazoa; Arthropoda; Insecta; Diptera; Tephritidae.
UUUCAGAUUUACAAAAUGUCUUGCAGAUUGAAAUUGUCGUUGUCAAGCGAAUUAAUUAAAUCCUGAGUGGAGAAGUUGCCACUGUCCACCGUAUUGGAAGCUGUAGGUGCAUUGGUGGAUUGUGCUGUUGUAGCUGCAGUCAUGGUAUUUCCUGUGAUAUUAUUAUUAUUUGAUCCAAGGUUGUUUGUUCCCGAUCCAAGUGAACCGGUGGUGCUGGCUAUACUAGGUGCACCUACCGAUCCGCUCACCAUUCCGCCAGUACUUUGGUUGCUGCUCCCCACAUUCUGAUUGAUUUGCAUCAUUUGCGUAUGUUGUUGGUGCGCGGUUGGCGUUGAUGUGGUUUGUUGCACGAACUGCUGUUGUUGCAUUGUCAUUUGCUGUUGCGACUGUGACAUGUGUAGUGACGUCAUUUGCAUUUGAGUCAUCAUGUUAGCAGGCCCGCCUUGUUGCUGCUGAUGAUGCUGCUGCAGCAUUUGUUGCAUCUGUACGCUGCCUGGUCCUCCGCUACCACCGGCGUUCGCUAACAUUUGCUGCUGUUGCUGGACCUGCUGCUGUCGUAUCAUUUGCUGCUGAAUUUGUGAUGGCGUCAACUGCAUGCCAUGAUUUGGAACACCACCGAUGCCGCUGUUUCCACCCCCAGACAUAGGACCAACACCACCAGCACUUGGCAAAAAGCCUCCUGAUUGGAAAAGGAAAAAAUAAUAAAUAACUAACCUUAAGGUCCUCCACCAAAGGUCAUCUGUUGUUGCUGCGACAUCAUCAUGUGGCGCCACUCCUGCUGUGAACCCAUCGGCAUACCAUCUGGAGUAACUUGAACAUUAGGAGGACGUUGUUGUGUUCCCAUGGGACCAUUAAAAGCUCCCAUGGAUGAACGUGAACCAGCUGCAGCUGAAUGUUGCAUGUACAUCGCAUGCUGCGGGCGCAUCAUUGGUCCUAAAAAAAUACGGUGUCGCCCUAAUCGUGUAUGAAUUUAGGUUUCUCGUUAUCGCAAUAGCUAAUUAUGCUCAUCUGAAAUCUUCCGUGUUUUGGUCGUGUGGCGUUUGGCUAACAAUUGAGUACUGGCACGAGCCGGCCGCGGCGGAGUUCCCGGUAUGCGACAACAGCAGCAAUAUCUCGAACUGCCAAGCCAACGAGGCAGUCACCUAAUCAAACAUUUCGUCAGCCAGCAGUAGAGUCACAGCCGCUGUAACCGUCACAGGAGAAUCAAAAAAUAAACGCGCUAAUGCAUUGUGAGAAAGUUGCAAAGCCACUGCAACGCAUUAAAGAGACAUCAACAGAGACGAACGCAAAGUAUAACAAAGCUCCAAUGAACUCGAAAUACAAAAAUAAAAAUUCACAUUUAAUACAUACAUACAUUUGGCCGAAGCAACAUGAAACAACAUCCCAAUGAGAGUUAAAUAAGAGCGAAUGGGAGAAAUGGAAAAUCUCAAAUAUUUUGAAAACGAUGUCUUCUUUAUGCACCAGCAGUAAUCAAGGUAGGAGACUAAAAUGUAGUGAAACUAUAUCAAACCAAUGAUCAAAGACCAGAACGCAAAUGCUAACAUGGUCAAUAGCAGUGAAAAGCGCAAACGCCAAAAAGCUACAGCAAUACAGAGACAUCAUCCAUGAAGGGAUGUUCGAAUGGGAAACCAAAUUACAAUAUACAAGUACAUACAUACAUAUAUACAUAUUUGCAAGAGAAAACAACCCUCACAAAAACUUUAUGUGAAAGCUAUAAGUCUAACCAUAACAUCUGUCGAAAUCAAAAUAAAAAUAUACAUACAUGGAUUGUCAAAAUA